RNAcentral lists this small RNA (127 nucleotides) under Arabidopsis thaliana (thale cress). RNAcentral describes it as "ATSL013070". The record is from RNAcentral. Lineage: Eukaryota; Viridiplantae; Streptophyta; Magnoliopsida; Brassicales; Brassicaceae.
UAGGAGUCCUACUCUUCACAAAGUUUCUUGAUAUUCCUUUCCAAUCUCCUUUUCCUACUUUCUGCAACCCAAUCAAGAACCUCUUAUGCUCGUUCUCUGUCCAUGGAACCCCUGUUUUGUUCAACAC